UACGUAGGGCGCAAGCGUUGUCCGGAUUUAUUGGGCGUAAAGAGCUCGUAGGCGGUCCGUCACGUCGGUUGUGAAAACCCGGGGCUCAACCCCGGGCCUGCAUCCGAUACGGGCGGACUAGAGUGCGGUAGGGGAGACCGGAAUUCCUGGUGUAGCGGUGAAAUGCGCAGAUAUCAGGAGGAACACCGAUGGCGAAGGCAGGUCUCUGGGCCGUAACUGACGCUGAGGAGCGAAAGCGUGGGGAGCAAACAGG
RNAcentral lists this ribosomal RNA (253 nucleotides) under uncultured bacterium. RNAcentral's name for it is "partial 16S ribosomal RNA". It matches the Rfam family "Bacterial small subunit ribosomal RNA", at positions 524 to 776 of the family's 1533-position model. The record is from RNAcentral.